GAUGAACGCUGGCGGCGUGCCUAAUACAUGCAAGUCGAGCGAACAGACGAGGAGCUUGCUCCUCCGACGUUAGCGCCGGACGGGUGAGUCACACGUGGACAAACUAUCUCUAAGACUGGGAUAACAUCGGGAAACCGGGGCUUAUACCGGAUAAUAUAUUGCACCGCAUGGUUCAAUAGUGAAAGUCGGUUUUGCUGUCACUUAUAGAUGGCUCCGCACCGCAUUAGCUACUUGGUAAGGUAACGGCUUACCAAGGCAACGAUGCGUAGCCGACCUGAGAGGGUGAUCGGCCAGGCUGGAACUGAGGCAGGGUCCAGACUCCUAGGUGAAGCAGCAGUAGGGAAUCUUCCGCAAGGCGGGAAAGCCUGACGGAGCAACGCCGCGUAAGUGAUGAAGGUCUACGGAUCGUAAAGCUCUGUUAUUAGGGAAGAACAAAUGUGUAAGUAACUAUGCACGUCUUGACGGUACCUAAUCAGAAAGCCACGGCUAACUGCGUG
This 497-nucleotide ribosomal RNA is filed under the name uncultured bacterium. RNAcentral describes it as "partial 16S ribosomal RNA". It matches the Rfam family "Bacterial small subunit ribosomal RNA", at positions 28 to 507 of the family's 1533-position model. The record is from RNAcentral.